RNAcentral lists this ribosomal RNA (468 nucleotides) under uncultured bacterium. Its description in RNAcentral is "partial 16S ribosomal RNA". It matches the Rfam family "Bacterial small subunit ribosomal RNA", at positions 28 to 507 of the family's 1533-position model. The record is from RNAcentral.
GACGAACGCUGGCGGCGUGCUUAACACAUGCAAGUCGAACGGAAAGGCCCUGCUUUUGUGGGGUGCUCGAGUGGCGAACGGGUGAGUAACACGUGAGUAACCUGCCCUUGACUUUGGGAUAACUUCAGGAAACUGGGGCUAAUACCGGAUAGGAGCUCCUGCUGCAUGGUGGGGGUUGGAAAGUUUCGGCGGUUGGGGAUGGACUCGCGGCUUAUCAGCUUGUUGGGGGGGUAGGGGCUUACCAAGGCUUUGACGGGUAGCCGGCCUGAGAGGGUGACCGGCCACAUUGGGACUGAGAUACGGCCCAGACUCCUACGGGAGGCAGCAGUGGGGAAUAUUGCACAGUGGGCGGAAGCCUGAUGCAGCAACGCCGCGUGCGGGAUGACGGCCUUCGGGUUGUAAACCGCUUUCGCCUGUGACGAAGCGUGAGUGACGGUAAUGGGUAAAGAAGCACCGGCUAACUACGUG